Molecule: long non-coding RNA, 439 nt
Organism: Cyprinus carpio (common carp)
Lineage: Eukaryota; Metazoa; Chordata; Actinopteri; Cypriniformes; Cyprinidae
Exons: 3
Source: RefSeq, a predicted model, not a curated record
GUUUGUUCAGGGAGGAGCCAGAGCGCAAAACAGCAGUAAGCGCAGCAGGAAACACUUCACCGAUAAUCCUCAACCACUGUCCAUACACAGACCUCGAAAGCGAGGUAAACUCAGUUCGAGCCUGCUCUUCUUCACCGCCUGCUGUGGUUUCUCUCCUCACCUCAGGAUAAUUGAGCAAACCCGCUUGAAUCGUGGACAGUGCCGGGACAUUGGGCCGCGGUGAAUCAGGUGGCUGAGGAGAAACGGUGAGAGAGGGUAGCGUGAGGUCCCUGUUCAUCCAGGGACGAUGAAGAGGUUCAGGCGUCAUGGGCAUGAGUCUCAGAGGGACAAGCACAAACAGGAUCUCUAUCAGUUCAACAAGACUGUAGAACAUGGCUUUCCCCAUCAGCCCAGUGCUCUGGGAUUCAGCCCCAGCCUGCAGCUCCUGGCCAUCGGUACC